UACGUAGGGUGCGAGCGUUGUCCGGAUUUAUUGGGCGUAAAGAGCUCGUAGGCGGCUUGUCGCGUCGUUCGUGAAAACUCACAGCUCAACUGUGAGCUUGCGGUCGAUACGGGCAGGCUAGAGUUCGGUAGGGGAGACUGGAAUUCCUGGUGUAGCGGUGAAAUGCGCAGAUAUCAGGAGGAACACCGGUGGCGAAGGCGGGUCUCUGGGCCGAUACUGACGCUGAGGAGCGAAAGCGUGGGGAGCGAACAGG
Molecule: ribosomal RNA, 253 nt
Filed under: uncultured bacterium
Lineage: Bacteria
Description: partial 16S ribosomal RNA
Rfam family: Bacterial small subunit ribosomal RNA
Source: RNAcentral